CAUUGGAUUGAGAACAAUGUACAAGAGUUAUCGAUAAACAAUUGGAGGGCAAGUCUGGUGCCAGCAGCCGCGGUAAUUCCAGCUCCAAUAGCGUAUAUUAACGUUGUUGCAGUUAAAAAGCUCGUAUUUGAACUGUGGGGCAUAAAUGAAUUGACUUUUUCAAAGUGAAUGAAUGAAUACCCCCUCUCCAAUAAGUCUGUAUGGGUAUUAAGUUAUUUGUACUGGCUGUUGGUCAUUUACUGUGAGAAAAUUAGAGUGCUCAAAGCACGCCUUUGCUUGAAUAUGUUAACAUGGAAUAAUAAUAAAAGGCUUUUAUGGUCGAUUUAAUUGGUUUGUUCAUGAAAGCAAGAUUAAAAGGGACAGUUGGGGGCAUUCAUAUUCAAUAGUUAGAGGUGAAAUUCUCGGAUUCAUGGAACAUGAACUACCGCGAAAGCCUUUACCAAGGAUGUUUUCAUUAAUCCAGAACGAAACCUAGGGGAUUGAAGAGGCUCAGAUUCCCUAGUAGUCUUAGCUAUAAACUAUACCGUAUAGGGGUUUGUAGAAGUCACUGUGUUUCUAUUAGUACCUUAUGAGACAUCAAAGUCUUUGGGUUCCGGGGGGAGUAUUGUUGCAAGGCUGAAACUUAAAGGAAUCGACGGAAGGGCACCACCAGGAGUGGAGCGUGCGGCUUAAUUUGACUCAUCACGGGCAAACUUACCAGGUCCAGACAUAGGAAGGAUUGACAGAUUGACAGCUCUUUCUUGAUUAUAUGGGUGGUGGUGCAUGCCCGUUCUUAGUUGGUGGAGUGAUUUGUCUGGUUACUUCCGAUAUCGAACGAGACCUCCGCCUACUAACUAGUUUAUUGUAUUUUGAUAGAAUAAACUUCUUAGAGGGACACUAUACGUAUGAGUGUAGGGAAGCUGGAGGCAAUAACAGGUCUGUGAUGCCCUUAGAUGUUGUGGGCUGCACGCGCGCGACACUGAUCUAUUCAACGAGUAACUGGAUCGAUAGAUUUGGUAAAUCU
Molecule: ribosomal RNA, 1003 nt
Filed under: Blastocystis hominis
Lineage: Eukaryota; Bigyra; Opalinata; Blastocystidae
Also listed under: 1 other name
Description: SSU rRNA
Rfam family: Eukaryotic small subunit ribosomal RNA
Source: RNAcentral